This 432-nucleotide ribosomal RNA is filed under the name Clostridium perfringens. RNAcentral describes it as "bacterial SSU rRNA". It matches the Rfam family "Bacterial small subunit ribosomal RNA", at positions 1 to 428 of the family's 1533-position model. Lineage: Bacteria; Bacillati; Bacillota; Clostridia; Eubacteriales; Clostridiaceae. The record is from RNAcentral.
UUUAAAUUGAGAGUUUGAUCCUGGCUCAGGAUGAACGCUGGCGGCGUGCUUAACACAUGCAAGUCGAGCGAUGAAGUUUCCUUCGGGAAACGGAGUAGCGGCGGACGGGUGAGUAACACGUGGGUAACCUGCCUCAUAGAGUGGAAUAGCCUUCCGAAAGGAAGAUUAAUACCGCAUAAUGUUGAAAGAUGGCAUCAUCAUUCAAUCAAAGGAGCAAUCCGCUAUGAGAUGGACCCGCGGCGCAUUAGCUAGUUGGUGGGGUAACGGCCUACCAAGGCGACGAUGCGUAGCCGACCUGAGAGGGUGAUCGGCCACAUUGGGACUGAGACACGGCCCAGACUCCUACGGGAGGCAGCAGUGGGGAAUAUUGCACAAUGGGGGAAACCCUGAUGCAGCAACGCCGCGUGAGUGAUGAAGGUUUUCGGAUCGUAA